GACGAACGCUGGCGGCGUGCCUAAUACAUGCAAGUAGAACGCUGAAGAGAGGAGCUUGCUCUCCUUGGAUGAGUUGCGAACGGGUGAGUAACGCGUAGGUAACCUGCCUUGUAGCGGGGGAUAACUAUUGGAAACGAUAGCUAAUACCGCAUAACAAUGGAUGACCCAUGUCAUUUAUUUGAAAGGGGCAAAUGCCCCACUACAAGAUGGACCUGCGUUGUAUUAGCUAGUAGGUGAGGUAACGGCUCACCUAGGCGACGAUACAUAGCCGGUCUGAGAGGGUGAUCGGCCACACUGGGACUGAGACACGGCCCAGACUCCUACGGGAGGCAGCAGUAGGGAAUCUUCGGCAAUGGGGCAACCCUGAACGAGCAACGCCGCGGGAGGGAAGAAGGGUUUCGGGUCGUAAAGCUCUGUUGGAAGUGAAGAACGAGUGUGAGAGUGAAAAGUUCACACUGUGACGGUAGCUGACCAGUAAGGAACGGCUAACUACGUG
Molecule: ribosomal RNA, 496 nt
Filed under: uncultured bacterium
Lineage: Bacteria
Description: partial 16S ribosomal RNA
Rfam family: Bacterial small subunit ribosomal RNA
Source: RNAcentral